GCGGCCGUGGCUGACUGGUUACGGGGUUCGCUUUGAAAACGAACGUUCCUGGGUUCGAUUCCCAUCUGCCCCC
Non-coding RNA from Culex pipiens (northern house mosquito), 73 nucleotides. NCBI's taxonomy places the organism in Eukaryota, Metazoa, Arthropoda, Insecta, Diptera, Culicidae. The record is from Rfam.